RNAcentral lists this non-coding RNA (236 nucleotides) under unclassified sequences. Its description in RNAcentral is "FuFi-1 RNA". It matches the Rfam family "FuFi-1 RNA". The record is from Rfam by way of RNAcentral.
UCGGCGUAAUGCGAUAAGCAGGUGCGGAACCGGAACCGCAAAAGUGAGCGGCACAUCAUAGAAGCACGAGUGACUGCGUGCGUUUUUUGUCAAAGGUGGCACGCGCACUGGAAGUGCCAGUUUAAAAACUGACGUUCCAACCGAAUGGCCAAGCAUUCGGGGCAAAAAUCUGCAGUGUGUUUUGGUAAACAAAUUUCGGAACAAAAGCAUUUGUAAGUCACUACAAAUGUUUUUGU